AAGUCGUAACAAGGUUUCCGUAGGUGAACCUGCGGAAGGAUCAUUAUUGAAUAAACUUGAACCAGGCUGUUGCUGGCCCCUCUUGGGGGGGGGUAUGUGCACGCUUGUCUCAUCUUUAUCAUUUCUCCAACUGUGCACACUUUGUAGACUCUGGAGUUUUUUUCCACUCGAGUUUUGGGAACUGCUGUGCCUUUUUAGAGGGCCAGCUUUGCCUUGCAUCUCCAGGUCUAUGUCAUUUUUUUCACAACCUCUCAAAUGUGUUUAGAAUGUUGAAUCAGGUCGUUUUGUACCUAUAAAAGUGAAAUAUACAACUUUCAGCAACGGAUCUCUUGGCUCUC
Molecule: unclassified non-coding RNA, 338 nt
Filed under: air metagenome
Description: partial contains small subunit ribosomal RNA, internal transcribed spacer 1, and 5.8S ribosomal RNA
Rfam family: Eukaryotic small subunit ribosomal RNA (bases 1-46)
Source: RNAcentral